RNAcentral lists this ribosomal RNA (406 nucleotides) under uncultured bacterium. RNAcentral describes it as "partial 16S ribosomal RNA". It matches the Rfam family "Bacterial small subunit ribosomal RNA", at positions 29 to 526 of the family's 1533-position model. The record is from RNAcentral.
AGUGAACGCUGGCGGUAGGCCUAACACGUGCAAGUCGAGCGAGUGGCGGACGGGUGAGGAAUACAUGGGAAUCUACCCGGUCGUGGGGGAUAACGAAGGGAAACUUAGGCUAAUACCGCAUACGAUCGAAUGAGCCGAUGUCGGAUUAGCUAGUUGGGGGGGUAAAGGCUCACCAAGGCGACGAUCCGUAGCUGGUCUGAGAGGAUGAUCAGCCACACUGGAACUGAGACACGGCCCAGACUCCUACGGGAGGCAGCAGUGGGGAAUAUUGCACAAUGGGCGCAAGCCUGAUCCAGCCAUACCGCGUGGGUGAAGAAGGCCUUAGGGUUGUAAAGCCCUUUUGUUGGGAAAGCGGUACCCAAAGAAUAAGCACCGGCUAACUUCGUGCCAGCAGCCGCGGUAAUUC